CUUUUAAAAAAAAAAAAAAAGGAGCUCUCAGGGUUACCAACCUUACAAUAGUAAUUGAGUCGUAGUGUAUUUCUCCUACAUAU
RNAcentral lists this small nucleolar RNA (83 nucleotides) under Echinops telfairi (small Madagascar hedgehog). Its description in RNAcentral is "Small nucleolar RNA U109 (ENSETEG00000026756.1)". It matches the Rfam family "Small nucleolar RNA U109". The record is from RNAcentral. Lineage: Eukaryota; Metazoa; Chordata; Mammalia; Afrosoricida; Tenrecidae.